GAAAGCUAUUUAGGUAGCGCCUCGGACGAAUACCAUUGGGGGUAGAGCACUGUUUCGGCUAGGGGGUCAUCCCGACUUACCAAACCGAUGCAAACUCCGAAUACCAAUGAGUACUAUCCGGGAGACAGACUGCGGGUGCUAACGUCCGUAGUCAAGAGGAAAACAAUCCAGACCGCCAGCUAAGGCCCCUAAAUUAUAGUUAAGUGGGAAACGAUGUGGGAAGGCAUAGACAGCUAGGAGGUUGGCUUAGAAGCAGCC
RNAcentral lists this ribosomal RNA (258 nucleotides) under Escherichia coli. RNAcentral describes it as "partial 23S ribosomal RNA". It matches the Rfam family "Bacterial large subunit ribosomal RNA", at positions 861 to 1117 of the family's 2925-position model. The record is from RNAcentral. Lineage: Bacteria; Pseudomonadati; Pseudomonadota; Gammaproteobacteria; Enterobacterales; Enterobacteriaceae.